Molecule: ribosomal RNA, 461 nt
Filed under: Spenceriella cormieri
Lineage: Eukaryota; Metazoa; Annelida; Clitellata; Crassiclitellata; Megascolecidae
Description: partial 16S ribosomal RNA
Rfam family: Bacterial large subunit ribosomal RNA
Source: RNAcentral
AUGGGGUAAUUCCUGCCCUGUGACAAAUGUUCAACGGCCGCGGUAUCCUAACCGUGCAAAGGUAGCAUAAUCAUUUGCCUAUUAAUUGUAGGCUAGAAUGAAUGGAUAAACGAAAUAAAAACUGUCUCAAUUAGUUACCUAAAAACUAUUCUCUAUAUGAAGAAAAAUAGAUAAAUUCGAAGGACAAGAAGACCCUAUAGAGCUUUAUUUAAAAUGUAAAACAAAUUACAUAAAAAUUCGGUUGGGGCGACCUAGGGAACUUAUAUCACCCUAUAGCAAUAUAGAUUAAUUAAUCAAGUAAGUGACCCUUAAAAGAUCAUUAAACCAAGUUACCUUAGGGAUAACAGGCUAAUCCUACUUAAGAGUCCAUAUCGACAGUAGGGUUUGGCACCUCGAUGUUGGCUUAGGGUAUCAAUAUAACGCAAAAGUUAUAUAAAGAUGGUUUGUUCAACCAAUAAUCC